UGGCGUAAACAAAGGGAAGCGAAGGCGUGAGCGUAAGCAAAACCCAAAAAUAACGUCCCAGUUCGGAUUGUAGUCUGCAACCCGACUACAUGAAGCUGGAAUCGCUAGUAAUCGCGGAUCAGAAUGCCGCGGUGAAUACGUUCCCGGGUCUUGUACACACCGCCCGUCACACCAUGGGAGUCGGAAAUGCCCGAAGUCGGUGACCUAACUGAAAGGAAGGAGCCGCCGAAGGCAGGUCUGGUGACUGGGGUGAAGUCGUAACAAGGUACC
RNAcentral lists this ribosomal RNA (270 nucleotides) under uncultured bacterium. RNAcentral describes it as "partial 16S ribosomal RNA". It matches the Rfam family "Bacterial small subunit ribosomal RNA", at positions 1231 to 1500 of the family's 1533-position model. The record is from RNAcentral.